UGCAGUCGAACGGUAACGCGGGGCAACCUGGCGACGAGUGGCGAACGGGUGAGUAAUGUAUCGGAACGUGCCCAGUUGUGGGGGAUAACUGCUCGAAAGAGCAGCUAAUACCGCAUACGACCUGAGGGUGAAAGCGGGGGAUCGCAAGACCUCGCGCAAUUGGAGCGGCCGAUAUCAGAUUAGGUAGUUGGUGGGGUAAAGGCCCACCAAGCCAACGAUCUGUAGCUGGUCUGAGAGGACGACCAGCCACACUGGGACUGAGACACGGCCCAGACUCCUACGGGAGGCAGCAGUGGGGAAUUUUGGACAAUUGGCGCAAGCCUGAUCCAGCCAUGCCGCGUGCGGGAAGAAGGCCUUCGGGUUGUAAACCGCUUUUGUCAGGGAAGAAACGAGUUUCUCUAAUACAGAGACUUAAUGACGGUACCUGAAGAAUAAGCACCGGCUAACUACGUGCCAGCAGCCGCGGUAAUACGUAGGGUGCAAGCGUUAAUCGGAAUUACUGGGCGUAAAGCGUGCGCAGGCGGUUAUGCAAGACAGAGGUGAAAUCCCCGGGCUCAACCUGGGAACUGCCUUUGUGACUGCAUAGCUAGAGUACGGUAGAGGGGGAUGGAAUUCCGCGUGUAGCAGUGAAAUGCGUAGAUAUGCGGAGGAACACCGAUGGCGAANGCAAUCCCCUGNACCUGUACUGACGCUCAUGCACGAAAGCGUGGGGAGCAAACANGAUUAGAUACCCUGNUAGUCCACGCCCUAAACGAUGUCAACUGGNNGUUGGGAGGGUUUCUUCUCAGUAACGUAGCUAACGCGUGAAGUUGACCGCCUGGGGAGUACGGNCCGCAAGGUUGAAACUCNAAGNANUUGACGGGGACCCGCACNAGCGGUGGNUGAUG
RNAcentral lists this ribosomal RNA (887 nucleotides) under uncultured bacterium. Its description in RNAcentral is "bacterial SSU rRNA". It matches the Rfam family "Bacterial small subunit ribosomal RNA", at positions 56 to 941 of the family's 1533-position model. The record is from RNAcentral.